Molecule: ribosomal RNA, 906 nt
Filed under: Synnemapestaloides ericacearum
Lineage: Eukaryota; Fungi; Ascomycota; Sordariomycetes; Amphisphaeriales; Sporocadaceae
Description: LSU rRNA
Rfam family: Eukaryotic large subunit ribosomal RNA
Source: RNAcentral
UUAAGCAUAUCAAUAAGCGGAGGAAAAGAAACCAACAGGGAUUGCCCUAGUAACGGCGAGUGAAGCGGCAACAGCUCAAAUUUGAAAUCUGGCCCUUGGGUCCGAAUUGUAAUUUGUAGAGGAUGUUUUUGGUGCGGUAUCUUCCGAGUUCCUUGGAACAGGACGCCUUAGAGGGUGAGAGCCCCGUACGGUUGAAUGCCUAGCCUUUGUAAAACUCCUUCGACGAGUCGAGUAGUUUGGGAAUGCUGCUCUAAAUGGGAGGUAAAUUUCUUCUAAAGCUAAAUACCGGCCAGAGACCGAUAGCGCACAAGUAGAGUGAUCGAAAGAUGAAAAGCACUUUGAAAAGAGGGUUAAAUAGCACGUGAAAUUGUUGAAAGGGAAGGAUUUAUGACCAGACUUUUUCUAGGCGAAUCAUCCGGUGUUCUCACCGGUGCACUUUGUUUAGUUUAGGCCAGCAUCGAUUUUUGGGGCGGGAUAAAAGCUUUAGGAAUGUGGCUCCCCCGGGAGUGUUAUAGCCUAUUGUAUAAUACCGCUCUGGGGAUCGAGGUACGCGCUUCUGCAAGGAUGCUGGCGUAAUGGUUAUCAAUCACCCGUCUUGAAACACGGACCAAGGAGUCGAACAUUUGUGCAAGUGUUUGGGUGUUAAACCCUCACGCGUAAUGAAAGUGAACGGAGGUGAGAGCCCUUACGGGUGCAUCAUCGACCGAUCCUGAUGUCUUCGGAUGGAUUUGAGUAAGAGCAUAAAUGUUCGGACCCGAAAGAUGGUGAACUAUGCGUGGAUAGGGUGAAGCCAGAGGAAACUCUGGUGGAGGCUCGCAGCGGUUCUGACGUGCAAAUCGAUCGUCAAAUCUGCGCAUGGGGGCGAAAGACUAAUCGAACCAUCUAGUAGCUGGUUACCGCCGAAGU